Long non-coding RNA from Labrus mixtus (cuckoo wrasse), 310 nucleotides. RefSeq lists it as uncharacterized. The transcript has 2 exons. NCBI's taxonomy places the organism in Eukaryota, Metazoa, Chordata, Actinopteri, Labriformes, Labridae. The record is from RefSeq and is a predicted model, not a curated record.
AAUAGAUACUGUUAGAUCGUUGUUUUUUUAUUUUACUAUUAUAUAUUUUUAUUAUUAUCAUUAUUUUUCUUUAGUAUUAUGAUAUUAUUUUUGUGUUGUUGUUUUUUCUUUUCUAUUUUUUUAAAUUAUUUUUUUGUGUUUUGUGCUUGUCUUUUCUUUUUGCCCCCUGGUAUGGUUAUGUUAUUGUAAUGUAUAUGUCUAUGGGGGUAUGUGUCAUGCUACCAAAAAAGAAAAUUGUCCUUAAUGAUUAUUGUAUCAUGAUACCUGUCAAAUUAAUAAAGAGAUAUUGUAAAAAUAAAUAAAUAAAAAA